This 258-nucleotide ribosomal RNA is filed under the name uncultured bacterium. RNAcentral's name for it is "partial 16S ribosomal RNA". It matches the Rfam family "Bacterial small subunit ribosomal RNA", at positions 96 to 354 of the family's 1533-position model. The record is from RNAcentral.
UGGCGGACGGGUGAGUAACGCGUGGGUAACCUGCCUUACACAGGGGGAUAACACCUGGAAACAGGUGCUAAUACCGCAUAAGCGCACAGCUUCGCAUGAAGCGGUGUGAAAAACUCUGGUGGUAUACGAUGGUUCCGCGUCUGAUUAGCUAGUUGGUGGGGUAAUGGCCUACCAAGGCAACGAUCAGUAGCCGGCCUGAGAGGGUGAACGGCCACAUUGGGACUGAGACACGGCCCAAACUCCUACGGGAGGCAGCAG